Molecule: long non-coding RNA, 10080 nt
Filed under: Citrus sinensis (sweet orange)
Lineage: Eukaryota; Viridiplantae; Streptophyta; Magnoliopsida; Sapindales; Rutaceae
Description: long non-coding RNA (CSIN_LNC001010)
Source: RNAcentral
CAUCAUACAAUUGAUGGGUAAUAACAGUACCCAUACUUUUAUUUUCUUAAACAUAACAUAAGAGACUAAUACUGCAUAUUCUUAACCAGUGUGAUCAGGGUUUCUUCCAUAUUGUGGGACUACAAGAAGAUCAAUAUUUCCAUUAAUUUCAUCAUCAGCAAUAAGUGAAAACCAUGGGGGGGCCCCACCCUCCGACCAAUCGGUAUAACCUGAAAAAUUCAUGUUAUAAAACUUAAUCACAAAUACACAUAUUAAAAUAAGAAUUAUAAAUGACAUUUAUUUGAAAAUGCAUGGCCUAUGUAUAAACCUGCGCAAGGAGUUCCCAUAAUCUUCAAAUCAGGAAGGCAAAAGAUUUCUGCUGGCUUCGACUGAACCGUAUUCAAAACUCAAAAGAAAAGAAGCUGUGCUUGAGCGAGUUCUUAUUUCUGGUUUGAUCUGAUAUAUAUAGAUCAAGUAGCCGACACUACAGUGAGAAUAUAGCAAAGUAACAAGUUGUGCAUCGUAAAGAUAAUGGAUCAGUGGUUCUAAUUUAAUCGUACAAUAGGUAGGGAAGGUCAACAGCUCUAUAUGGUUAAGUUAGUGCAUGUGCGAUACAUGGUUCAAAAAAUAAAUAAUUCUAAAUACGAAGGACACGAGCAAAUAAAGUAAUAAAUGCAAUUACCAAAUAAUAGUGCGUGGUAUACUAUAGAUAAUGGAUCAACCAUUCAGAUUUCAUCAUACAAUAAGUAGGUAAGAUUAACUGUUAGUGUUAAAUCAUUGCAUGUGCGAAACAUGGUCCACAAAAUAAAUAGUAGUAAACAAGAAAGACGAACAAAGUAAUCAAAUACCAUGUCAUCAGAUAAAAAGAAAAAAAAGAAAGGUAUAAAUACCAUUACCAAACAAUUGCUUGGUAAAGAUAACAGAUUUACCGCUGAAGUCUGAUAAUUGUAAGAUUAACGGCUAUAUAUGGUUCAACUGCAUGUGUAGAUAAAGUAUGAAUCAAUGGGUCCAGGAAAUAAAUAAGAAGACCACAAGCAUAGUGGUCCAAAAAAUAAAUAAGAAGCGAACUGACGAUACAUAUAGAUCAAGUAGCCGACAGUGCCAACGUAUCAAAUAAACAAGUCAUGCAUGGUAAAGAUAAUGGAUCAACGGUCCAAGUUUAAUCGUACAAUAACUAGGUAAGAUUAAGGGCUCUGUAUUGUUAAAUGAUUGCACGUGCGAAAUAUGGUCCAAAAAAUAAAUAAUUGUAAAUAAGAACGACGAACAAAUUAAGUAAUUAGUACCAUUACCGAACACAGUGCAUUGGAAGGACUGGCUUUCUUCCUUUUUAUGAGAGCAAAGAACGAAAUUUUGUAAUAGUUUUACUUAACAGCUGAAAGUUAAUUUCAUUUUUAUAUCUUUCUUUUCCUUCUUUAUUUCUUAUAUUUUUCUGUUAUUAUUAUAAUUUCUCUUUUAUGUCAGUACGAGAGGCGUGUAAUUGUUUUGGUUUACUAAACCCUUAAUUCUCUUUCUAUACAACAUCAAAUCUAACUAUCCUUGUAAAGCUUUAAAAUAGUCGAUUAUAGUUAAUUAUUUGAAAAAUAAUAACCAAAGUAAAUAAGUAUUUUAUUUUUUUCGGUGUAUUAAACUAUCUAGUAUCUAAAGACCACAUUGGACCCCGAUUAAUUUAUAUUCGAGACAGGCAUGACCACUGAGGUGGCAAAGCUCUCCCAACAAAUAUUUAACGCAACUGUACUCCCAAGUCUCGAACUGAGGACUUUAGUUAAGUUAAAACAACUCUAUGCCAACUGAUCUCCGCGCUUGAUAGAAGUAAAUAAGCAUUUUAGUUAUCACAAUUAAACUCUUCUUUAGCAUUUAAUAGAAGUAGUUCUAUGAGCAUGGGUUUCGAGAGAGCAUGGCGGUGCGAAAAUGUUCGUGCGUUUACAGUCCCUAUGUUUUUAGUCAUAAUUUAUUUAGAUAUAGACAAAGACCCCUAAUGUUUAAAAAAUAGACACACAAAUGGCCCUUUUGAUUAUUUCACUCUUUGGUUCUAUUUAUCCAACGAAAAUUAAUUUCAAUCUAUUGUUCUAUAAUAAAUAUAAAUAUAGUAUUUAAAUCAGUGUAAUAAAUAAAUACAUUUUACAAUACAUAAACGUUAUUUGAGUUCUUUGCAAGAAUUAGCUAACCACUAUGCGGAGUUUGUUUAAGAAAAAUAUUGAAGAAGAGACAGCAUAAUUAAGCUGAUAGUAGAUAUAUAGCUAGACAAAGUUAAUCGACGUUAACAAACUGAUACACAAUACUUUUUUUUUUCUUAAAAGGAAAAUAUAGUACACGUAAAUAGCUAGACAAAGAGAAUCAAUUUGUAUAUAUCAAGAGAUCUUACAAGUUAAACCGAUCAAGAGAUCUUACAAGUUAAACCGAACCAAACUGAGACCAUUAUACAAUUGACGGGUAAUAACAGUACCCAUACUUUUAUUUUCUUAAACAUAACAUAAGAGACUAAUACUGCAUAUUCUUAACCAGUGUGAUUAGGGUUUCUUCCAUAUUGAGGGACCAGAAAAAGAUCAAGAUUGUCGUUAGUUUCAUCAUUAGCAAUACCCAUUUCGGGAAUCGGAAUCCAUUUCGACCAAUCGUUAUGACCUGAAAAGUUCAUAUUAUAAAACUUAAUCACAGAUACAUAUUAAAAUAAGAAUUAUAAUGAUAUUUAAUUGAAAAUGCAUGGCCUAUAUAUAAGCCUGCGCAAGGAGUUUCCGUAAUCUUCAAAUCAGAAAGGCAAAAGAUUUCUGCUGGCUUCGAUUGAACCGUAUUCAAAACUCAAAAGGUAAGUAGUUGCGCUUGAGCGAGUUCUUAUUUCUGGUUUGAUCUGAUAGAUAUAGAUCAAGUAGCCGACACUACAGUGAGAAUAUAGCAAAUAAGCAAGUCAUCACGCUAAAGAUGAUGGAUCGACAGUUCAAGUUUAAUCGUACUAUAAAUCGGUAAGAUUAACGGCUCUGUAUGGUUAGAUUAUUGCGUGGUUGAAACAUUGUCUAAAAAAUAAAUAAUUCUAAAUAAGAAGACGAACUGACGAUCAAAGCAAUAAUACCAACCAAUAAUGCAUGGUAGGGAUAAGAUAACGUAUAUAUAUCCACGGCUGAAGUUUCAUGGUAAGAUUAACGGCUAUAGAUGUUUCAAUUAAUGGGUCCACGAAAUAAAUAAUUGUAAAUAAGAAGUCAUGCAAAAUAAAUAUUCUUUCAACUGCAAUUCGAGUCCGUCCAAUUUUAAAUAAGAUUUGGGUGGAAAGUAGAUGUCCUUCUCGUUAAUUGGGUGGAAAGUAGACGAUUAUUAUUAUGGUCUUCUUAUUUAUUUCGCUGACCCAUUGAUUCCUACUUCCACAUGCAGUUGAAACGUAUAUAGCCAUUAAUCUUACAAUUAUCAAACUUCAGCCUUACGUGUGUUAUCUUUAUACUUUUUUUUUUUUUUGAUGAGAUGGUAUUUAUUACUUUGUUCCCCUAUCUUAUUCACAAUUAUUUAUUAUGUAGACGUUUCGCACAUGCAAUAAUUUACUUAUUGUACGAUCAAACAUUACCUCGUUAUUGUAGGAUGAAACCUGAGUUGAUCCAUUAUCAUGCAUUAUUUCUUUUUGUUUUUGCUUUGUUUUUUUUUUUCUUUUUUUGGUGGCUACGUUGGCGCUGUAGUGUCGGCUACUUGAUGUAUAACCAGAAAUGAAGUUAAAGGCUGAAGUUAAGAUAAGAUCACAUUUCUACGGCUGAAGUUAAGAUAAGAAAACGAACUGACUAUCAAAGAAAUAAUACCAACCAAUAAUGCAUAGUAAGGAUAUAUAAGAUAACAUAUGUUUCAUUGUGAGCUUAUCGGCUGCAUAUGUUUCAAUUGAUGAGUCCACGAAAUAAAUAAUUGUAAAUAAUAAGUCAAGCAAAGUAAAUAUUCUUUCCUUAUCAUCUGGUAAAAUGUGUUUCUAUGGCCAAAAUUAUUGUGCGUGGAGACUGAGAGUAAUUUGGUGGUAACUAAGAGGGAAAAGGAUUGUUACACUCGAUAGUUUAUUUCAAUAUACACAUAGACCCUUAAUGUUCAAAACAUAAUCACACAGAUGGCCCUUUGACUAUUUUACUCUUGGACUCUAUUUACCCAACAAAAAUUGAUUUCAAUCGCAUGUUUUAUAAUAAAUAAAACUAUAAUAUUUAAAUCAAUGUAAUAAAUAAAUACACUUUCAGUUAAAUUUAAUAUUAAAAUAUGUUGUACUUAUUUAUCAAUAUUAAAAUUUUUUAUAAACAAGGUUAAAAAAAUUAAUAAUUUGUUGAAUAUAUUUAUACAAAUUCCUACCCUAUUAAGGAUUUCAUGAUACGCAAAAGGAAAAAAAGUAACAUUUAGAAAAAUGAUGGGGCAAAUUUGCACUCCAAUAUAUAUUUUGGACACUCUAAAAUUUUACAUUACUAAAAUAACGGUAAUCUAAUCUACUAUUCAGGACAUUAAUAUAUUUUAAGAAAAUUUUAAUUCCCUUAAAACUCACUAUUAUACGUAGAAGAAUUAAAUUUCAAGUCUUUUUUCCUCGUCAUCAUCCAAUUUAGUGCCUGCUUGGUAUUGCUUUUGGAAACUUUAAAAGUUAUUUUAAAAAACUAAGUGCUAAUUUUGAUGAAGUUCAUGUUAUCUAAUGCUUGUAAUAGUUUUUCCCUUUUUUAAAGAUGUUAUUCUUUUGGAAUAUACCAAUAUCAAUGAGCCAGAAAUGUUCUUGCAACAUUGAAUUAGUUUAUAAAUUUAAAAAUGCAUGAUCUAAAAUCCUAUGCCUUGCUUAUCUAAUUUGAACUUGCAUAGUGCUCAUAUGAUUACAUUCAUAAGCUCUUAUCAAAAUUUAGUUGUUGUUUAGUUGUUUUUUAGUAAAGUUUUUAAAGAUUAAAUAAGUUAUUUUUGUUCUACUAGCAAAAGCUAUAAUUUUGGGCAUUUGGGAGCAGACGUAGAAACGUUUUUUUUUUUAAUUAUUAAAAUGUCUAAAAUAUUCUUUAUUUAUUUGACAAUUUUAUUUCAUUUAUUUUAUAACAUAACUUUCAAAAGCUUAUUUAUUAAAGUAGUUUUACAAUUCUAAUAAAAGCUCUUAUUGACAACCAAAUAACUAAAUUUUUUUUAGCACAAGCUCUAUUUGUAAGAGCUCUACUAACAAAAGUUCUACUUCAAUAAGCUCUAUUUGAAAACUCUGCCAAACUAAGCCUUAUUUUUGAACUCAUCUCCUAAUGCUCGAUCGAAAACAAUUCUAUUGCAAAAUUAAUGCAAUGCAUGUUCAAUAAUUUUGUCUAGAUUUCCCAGGGUUGAACAUUCGUUAAGCACCCGUAGUAAUAGCAAUUUCAAAUUCGCGCAAUGCAUCUGUUCAAAUUAUCAUUAUAAUUCAGUUGAAAUUUUUUUUAGAACUUAUGUCAAGUCAAGGUCCCAAGUGUUACGGUGAAUUCAGCUCCGGCUAUACCCUUCCUGAGUUUAUUACUUUUCCGUGUGCGUACGUAAUAACAGCCUGGAGAAGUAAUUAAUUGAUUGAUUAACCAUUGAUGGCAUUUAACCGUCCUCUUGAAGGGAAACCAGCUACGAUAUAAAUCAAACAACUGAACGUACAACUUCAUUAGAUUUCCUACAAUAAUGGCUAACAUUCAAUUUCAAUGAUUUAUCUGCUCCCUUCGAUCGACCAUGCCUUAAUUAAUUGUUACCACAACAUCAUCCCGAAUGUGGUAAUGACGUAAAUUAUAUAUUUUAGCUAUUUUUCUUUUUAAUAAAUAAUUUUACAGACACAGAUACAAUAAGCGUGGCAUAUGGGAGGAUGUUAGUUGAAACUUGGAAGCGAUAUCAGUUAAGCCAUCAUGCUUUUGUCCAACUUCUAUCUUCACGAUUAUGAAACCUAUUGUUUCUUUUCCAUUCACUUCUUGGGACAUGAGUAAUAAUAUAGCCACAAAUUCUUGUACAAGCUUAUCUUAUACAAACUGAUGUGGCAGGAUAAAAUUGAUUAAAUUAAAUAUUACUUGACCCACAUGAUUUAUUUUCAUUAUUUUGUAUUUUCAUUCAACCAAUGAAUUAAUGCCGAAUCAGUUUGUACAAAAUAAAUUUGUACAAAAAUUUGUGAUUGUAUCAUCACUCCUUAUGAUAUAUUGUCCACCCCACGUGUUAGCCUUUAAUUAUGCCAUCUUGCAACAUAAGCCCAUUGUUUGAGAAUUAAUCUCAGUUAAAGGGGCGGCUGAGACUUGAACCAUGAACUUUGAAGGUCACGUAGGUGGUGUUGUCCAUGUGCCAAGUAUACAUCAAUCAAACUUUAAGUAAUUAUUGGUUGGGCGAAAAUGAAAGCAAAGUGCGUAUUUAUGACUAGCUGUAGAAGAGAGCGAAAGGGCAGAACGAGCGUAUAUAGGUAGCUUUUGAUGACUUGGCUCAAAUAAAGGCAGUUCUAUAUUUAUACACGGAGAAAUUAUAAAAGUACAAGUCGUUUUUGGUCAUCUUGAUUUAUGCCCCAGAUCAAAAUUUUUUUAAAAUAGUUUUAUUUAAGUGGUCAUUCAAAUUCAAAUUCAAAUUCAUGGGGAGAUUAGUAAUAAGAAAAGAAAUUUAGCCUUUACCCACUCCCCUUAUUUUUUUCAGAAUGAGACUAAUAAGUUCAUUAAAACUUAUCAGAUAGAACAAAUUCGGAAUAUUUUGAAGAAUGACAAUUACAAUAAAGAGUACAAAUAAUGAUGAAUGCACCUCCUACUCCUCUUCGUGACACAAGCCAAUUAGGUUAUGAUUUUUUUUUAAUUAAAGAAAAAAAAUAAAAAUCAAGCCUUACCUAAAAGCAAUUGGUAGUAAAAUUUUAGUGGAGAAUCUAAAGAAUGACAUAUCCGUCAUUUUCUAUGAUUUCUGUGAGGACCACUUUUUUUUUUUUAAAAAAAAAAAAUUCACGCUCAUCACAAGUUGAUUUGUUUUGUCAUUUGUGAUUGCGGGGUGUGUGUCUUCUUUUGGUUUGAUGCCUCACUGAUCUGAUCCGCAAUCUUAAACUUUAUUAAAAUUUAAAAAAAUUAUCAAGUUAUAUGGUUUAAUUUACAAUUUUUCUCUAUUUCUCUACUUGUAAAUUUUACAUUUUUUAAUAAAAAUUAUUAAAGUCUCUGAGCUAUUAAGGGUAUUUAUGACAUUUUCCUACUUGUAAUUAAUUUAAUCAUUAAAAGUAUAUAAGUUUUUUCUGGAUUUAUAUUCAAACAUAUUUAAAUUUUAUAAAAAUAAAUUAAUGUCUUAGUUAAGCUUUCUAAUUUUUUUUUUCUGCUCGACGAAUUUAUAAAGACGUCGUUUUUAAGAAGGAAAUAAUUUCUCUUUAUCUUUUUACUGCUUGAUUGGAACUCGGGAAUUGAAAAAAGGAAAGGAUCGAUGUUGAAGGAAAGAGUUGGGUAUGGAAAUAAAAUUGUAUCCCUUUAUAAACUCAUUAAAAAUCAAAUUGAAUGAAUUUAAUUAUUAAUAAUUAGGUUACAAUAUAAAAUGAAAUCUUAAGCUUUCAAUUUUUUUUUCUAGAAAUUAAUUUUAUGAUUAGAUUAUUGAAAGCUAAAGAAAAAUUAGGAGGGGGAAAACUAGUAGGGAAUCCAAAUCCUAUUCUUAUUAAUUAAUUAUAAGCUCUAUUUUUUUUUAAUCAAGUCCAAAAUUUUCCUUGUUUUUUUUUUUCUUUUUAAAUACCCAAAACUAAAAAGCAGGGCAUGCACUCUGUUUAUAUUUCUAUGAAAUCGUUGUUCAUUAAGCAAAUUUCUUCCUCUAAGUUCAGAUAAUUUCAUGAUUUGUCACUUACUGCACCGAAUAAAAAGAUAAAGAAUCAAAAUUCAAAAGGACAUCUUUUAUGUGUAAAUACACAUCAAAUCUCUUUUAUUAAUCAAAUUUUUUUGAUUAUUAAUAAAAUAGGCUACAUAGCAUAUUAUAUUUUUUCUCCCUCAGCUAAAAUACUAAUAUAUUACCAAAUUAAUUCGUAAACGGAAAUUAAGAAAGUUAGAUCUCCAGUGAUUGUCCGUGCAAUCUCUGACUUGGCGGCACUGGAUUUUAUCAUUGCUUCAUUGUUAAAAUUUCCCGUGAAGGACGUAUAAAUUGCUGCCAUGGUGACCUUUGCAAAGGAUGUGACCAUUGCUGCGCUGGAUAAUACUGCUGGGGAUGUGAACAUUGCUGUGCUGGGUGUAAAAUGCAAGGGAUAUGAAUGUAAUUGGAGAUCGUUUUCAUUUUUGUUUGUCGUUUUCGCUUUUUCAAGGUUGGUAAAUGGAGAGUGAAGAAACAGCAGAUCACCAAGGAGGAUUCACUAACUUUCGUGAAUUUAGGGAGGGGUUUCCUUGAGAUUAUGUGCCUGAUUGGUACAACUUAUUUAAUAAUCACAAGUGUUUAUUUAAUCUCAUCAGCUCUUAUUUUAAUUUUUAUUAUUGUUUGGUUUUUUUUUUAAUAGAACUUUUGAAAUUUAAAUAAGAUAGUUUGUCUUUUCUAAUAAAAUCUCAAAUUUUGUUGGGCAUAGGACGAAUGAAAAACAUUUGUUCUUAAACACCUUUUCCUAGUUUCAAAUAGAAGUGAGAGAGAGUUGAUGCUAAAAAGACCGCCAGACUUAUAUUUUUCCAUGAGAAUUAUGUAUUAUGUGGAACUAAUUUUAAUUUACUUUCGUGAUCUUGUUACAAUGUUAGCUCUUUGUUCAUGAAUUGAUUAAUACGUGUUUCUUUUUACUCAAAAGUCUUCAUCUUAUUAACUUGCAUCAUCUUUUUCUUCUUCUUUUUCUCCGCGUGGUCUUCAAUCACCUAGUUUCUCUCCUACAGGAUGAGCAAUAAUACCCAUUCGAAAAUACAUUGGUUUGUCGCUGUUUGAUUUAUGACAAGCGGAUUUCUCAUCCCACAAUUUUUUUGGUCCAAAUGAGAAAUAAUAUGGUAUCAACUACUGUAUCUUGACUGGUAUUAUUUUAAGAAAUAGCAUUUGCUUACUAUUUGACUUAACAAAACAAUAUCCAGUGCGCUUGUACUAACCCUGCUGCGUUUUUUUCACAAUAUCUAUUUCUAUUCUUUGCUGAGGACUUUUGUGAAUCUGUGAUAUAAGCUGGCGGAAUCGCUGCAUCCAAAUUUAAUAUGAGAAAACAUAUCCUCAAGCUAGCCGGCUUAACGCGCAGCGGAUAUUAGUAAUAAGAAUGACCAUAGCACAGCCACAGAAACGGCGCAGCCCCAUUCUAUCAUUUUUGUGCCCUCUCCUCAAACUUUUUUGAUAAUAAUUUUUGAUAUCACUCUUUAUUUCACCAUACUCUAUUUUGAUUAAUUCGAUUUAUUUCUCAAAUUACUCCCAUUAAAAAUAUUUUAUCUCUAUUGUUUCUCACUUGCUCUUCUCAUUAUAUUUCAACUAAUGGUACAACAAUCGAAAUGGAAAAUUUAGAAUCAAAAUCAAUGACAUGUUUACUUGCAAAAUUAAGGUUUGGGAUUGGAAUUGAAGUAGUGUCGGACCCACAAAUUUGAGAAUCACUACCAUAGCUCUGAUUCCAAAGCGAGGGGUUUGGAAUCUGAAUUCGAUUUCUAUAACUACCCAUUUUACUCCCAUUAAAUUUUUAUAAUCUCUAAAUUACUCUCAAUUAAGUUAUGUCAUUUUUUUCUUUUUGGUUCCCAUGGAAUUUAUCAAACAAACUCAAAUUUCUUGAAUUAUUUGCAAAUAGGUCCUUUAUUGUUUAUAAUAAUGUAAUAAUAAUAUUAUAUUAUAUUAUUAUAUUUAAAAUUUAUUUAUUUUAUUAUUUUAAUUAUUAUUAUUGUCAUUAAUUUCAUCAUCAUCAUCAUUUCAUCAUCAUUAUUAUUAAAUUUUUUUAUUUAAUCAUCAUUAUUAUUAAAUUUUUUUAUUUAUUUUUCUUUUAGAAAAACAUAGUACACAUAAAUAGCUAGACAAAGAGAAUCUCUUGUAUAUAUCAAGAGAUCUUACAAGUUAAACUGAACCAAACUGAGACCAUCAUACAAUUGAUGGGUAAUAACAGUACCCAUACUUUUAUUUUCUUAAACAUAACAUAAGAGACUAAUACUGCAUAUUCUUAACCAGUGUGAUCAAGGUUUCUUCCAUAUUGCGGGACCACAAGAAGAUCAAUAUUUCCAUUAAUUUCAUCAUCAGCAAUAAGUGACCAACGUGGCGGUGCAAUCCCCUCCGACCAAUCGUUAUAACCUG